AGGACGAACGCUGGCGGCGUGCCUAAUACAUGCAAGUCGAACGGCUUUUCUAUGGAAGCUUGCUUCACUGAGAAGAUAGUGGCGAACGGGUGAGUAACACGUGGGUAACCUGCCCAUAAGAGGGGGAUAACAUCCGGAAACGGGUGCUAAUACCGCAUAGUUUUCUUGAUCGCAUGAUUGAGAAAGGAAAGACGGCCUUUGUGCUGUCGCUUAUGGAUGGACCCGCGGCGUAUUAGUUAGUUGGUGAGGUAACGGCUCACCAAGACGAUGAUACGUAGCCGACCUGAGAGGGUGAUCGGCCACAUUGGGACUGAGACACGGCCCAAACUCCUACGGGAGGCAGCAGUAGGGAAUCUUCCGCAAUGGACGAAAGUCUGACGGAGCAACGCCGCGUGAGUGAAGAAAGGUUUUCGGAUCGUAAAACUCUGUUGUCAGAGAAGAACAAGUUGGAGAGUAACUGCUCCAGCCUUGACGGUAUCUGACCAGAAAGCCACGGCUAACUACGUGCCAGCAGCCGC
Molecule: ribosomal RNA, 518 nt
Filed under: uncultured bacterium
Lineage: Bacteria
Description: bacterial SSU rRNA
Rfam family: Bacterial small subunit ribosomal RNA
Source: RNAcentral